RNAcentral lists this long non-coding RNA (439 nucleotides) under Hordeum vulgare. Its description in RNAcentral is "long non-coding RNA (HVUL_LNC005780)". Lineage: Eukaryota; Viridiplantae; Streptophyta; Magnoliopsida; Poales; Poaceae. The record is from RNAcentral.
CUUUAAAAAAAAUUGAAAUUUGAAUGAAACUAAUAACGAUGAUUUCAAAAUAACCACAAAUCUUUUCACGAUUUUCCUGGAAAAUCUCGCCUCAACACUUCUUUAUCGGUUGACAGUUACUACCCCAUUGCUUCCGGCGGACCAAUGUGGUCAAGUCCUUGUACCCCUGCCUUCACGGAAGCACCAAUGCAGUGUAAACACGUCACAGUCAGAGCUGAUCCCACUGACGACACAGCUGAGCAGUCCAUUGUCGCUAAUCAAAUUUUCUAGUGGUGUAUAGCAAAGGUGACCGGCUCAAGUCAAUGGAAACUCUUGGAUGCAGUGAGAAGCGUAACCCAUAAAACAUCAAAUUUUGGGGACUACGAAAUGAGAGCCAGAAGUGUGUAAACUUUUCUCCAGGAUCCAGAGUUCUUGUGUGUCAAGGGGCAAAUAAAUUUCA